RNAcentral lists this unclassified non-coding RNA (2743 nucleotides) under Actinia tenebrosa (Australian red waratah sea anemone). Its description in RNAcentral is "folliculin-interacting protein 1-like, transcript variant X1". Lineage: Eukaryota; Metazoa; Cnidaria; Anthozoa; Actiniaria; Actiniidae. The record is from RNAcentral.
UUCCGUCAUGUGAUGUUCGGCCAUUACCAAGAGACGUACGUGUUCCAGUAGAGAGAAACGAUGAAAUUUGGUUGGAAAUAUCAGCAUGCUUUCAAAAAUCUUUUCUUUUAAUACUCGAAAAACUGGGGAAAAAAUCCUCGAAAGUGAUGUUGGAACAGAAUUACCACUUACGUCUGGAGGGAUAUUCCCAGAUUUAGAUGCUACCCAGAUUCGAAUAUUGGUAUUUAAAGACUGUGACCGGAAAGGAAAGACCCUACUGUAUGACUCUAAGAUUGCUAAGCAGAUACAGGAAGAAAGAACACAGGAUGCAGCCCAAGGCAAACAGCAGGACAAAACAAACAGCAAAGCUGCUACAAGAAAACCAGACCACAACCAUGGAAGUUAUAGUACUCCCCCAGUCAAAAAGAAACUGCAUCGGCGAUCAAGUAGUGACUCUACAUUGUUGGGAGAAAUGAUAUUUGGAUCAGUAGCUAUGACAUAUAAGGGAUCAACAGUCAAAGUUCAUCUCAUAAGAUCACCUCAUCAGCUGUUGAUGACCAAAGUAUUCUCUCUUCGUCCUCGUAUGUCUGUAUCAAGUAACUGCAGUGAUAAUACAGAUAGUUUCAUGAGCAGUGCAAGUCAAAUUGACUCGAUCUUAGAAGAUGGCAGUCGGAUUGAGAGUGACUGUGUUUCAUUGUCAUCACAAAGCAACAGUCCAAAAGAUUCCCAUCUAGUCCAGGAGAAUUCUUCCACUCCUGUACCUGUGCCUCAAUUAACACCAACAGUUAAUAUUGAACCUGAAGAUGAUAGUGGAUUUACUGCAUCACUGGACAGCUUAUGUUGCCAUGGUAGUGUCACAUCCUUGUUUACCCCUGCAUCAUCUCCAUGUGGUAGUUUCCAAAGAAGGUUACAUCGUAGUCAGAUCACAAGUAUUGAUAGCAGAUUCAACAAGAAACAGGAAGAAUCUUCAGAAGAGCCUAAUUCCCCAAUUCUUAGACGUCGACCUAAAAUUGGUAUCGGAAUUCUUUUCCCCCUGAGUGACAGUGAUGAACAAAGCAGUGCUCUUCAAAGAUUUUUCUUUGCACAUUUCCCUCUGUUUAACUCACAUGUGCAUCGGCUGAGGUUGGCAGUUGAGAGAGCUUGCCAUUCUAGAAACUCUUUUGCAAUGCAAGUUACAGAGGCAUUUAAUAGAUUUUGUGAGGAGAUUAGCAACUUUCUCAAGACUCCAAGACUCAAGCAACCAGUGUGGCUUAACAUGAUGACGUUUCCAGAUCAUAGAGGGGAUUUGUGUGAAAAAUUUAUGGAACAGCUGACAGGAUGUCUAAACCUGUAUAACAACAGAGAAACAAAUUUUUUUCUCACAGCAGUAUUGUCUGCUGUCCUCACUCAUCAUCUGGCUUGGGUGCCUACUGUUAUGCCUGCUGGGGCAGCUCCAAGCAGAGCAUACUUAGACAAACAUUCUUCCAAAACACUUGACCUUUUGGCACAGUCACAUCCUUAUAAUCCACUGUGGGCACAAUUAAGCGAUCUUUAUGGUGCAAUAGGUUACCCAUUAAAACUAGCAAGAACUGUUGUUGUAGGGAAAAAUGCCAAACUUGUUGGUCAAGUGCUUCAAAUUCUCAGUUACUUCAUUCGAUGUACAGAAGUCUUUGAACAUACUCCAGAAAGAGUAGACUUACCAGAGCAUGAUUUUUCUCAUUCAGAUUUCACAGAAGUAGAAAACUGUUGUCUUUGUAGGCAAAAUGAAGAUGAACCCUGUCAUAAGCACAGUAUUUGCAAUCCAUGUAUUGAGAAAAGUGGACUAUCAAUUUGUUCAAAUUGUCAAAAAUUGAUACCAAAGGAAUUAGAUGAAAAUAUAUCCUUGCAAUCUUCCCAGCUGUCAAGAACAUUAUUACAAGGUCUUCCAUGCUGUUCAGAUUGUGGACUGUUGCAAAGAAAUGAAAACAUUGAAGAAAUAUUUCGUGUAAAUAGUAUGUCGGGCACAUGUGGGACAUGUCUGCCAAAAUGGACAUCAGCUAAGGGACUUCAGCAUUUUCUAGAUGAUUUAAGUUAUUUGGAGCGAAGUGAGACAUUCAAAUGCUAUUGUUGUGAGAAGAAAGAAAAGACAGAAGAAAGUACCUCAACCUUUAAGUGUUAUUGUACUGGUGAUUCUAGAUGUAGUCUUUGUUCUACUACGAAAAAUGGCUUGAAUACAAACUUGCAAAAAAGUAUUGAACUUGAUAUCAUAUUCCUGCAGCUUUUACUUCAUGACCAGUUUUGCUCUAAACUAGAAUGCAAAUGUUUUACACCAAAGGACAAUACAAGUUGCUUGGAAAUGGACUUAGAGCAGGACAGCUCAGAACAAAAUGAUGUUGAAUCCAAUGAUUCGUCUGCUCGCAGUGGUUCUCUAGAUUCAGGUUUUCAUCCAGGGACACCGUCAUGUAGCACCAAAAGUAAAAUGGAGCUAGAAGAAUAUUUGAGUCUAGAUACACUAGAAGAUGAAGAUGAGUUUGGUCCAGAAGAACUACCACUACCAGGGUAGGUGCAGUUUUUUGUUUUUAAUAUUUUUCAACUCUGUUUUGUGUUGUUAUUUAGACCUUUAAUUUUGAUGGUUUGCCCCAAGAGCCAUAAAGCUCACCGAAGAGGCAGCCACGUGUAAAGACUUGUAGAUGGAUCAAGUAAAGAUGGUGAUCACAGAAAACCAGAUGAAUGGAGAAAGUCAAACAACUUUGGUCGUUCACUUUUUGCAGGGGUUGGUGAAACAUAUCAUCCAGACUUUGUCCUU